GUGGGGGUGUGUAUGAGGUGGUGGUGUGUAUGAGAUGGUGGUGUGUAUGAGGUGGUGGUGUGUAUGAGGUGGUGGUGUGUAUGAGGUGGGGGUGUGUAUGAGGUGGUGGUGUGUAUGAGGUGGUGGUGUGUAUGAGGUGGUGGUGUGUAUGGGGUGUUGUGUAUGAGGUGGUGAUGUGUAUGAGAUGGUGUUGUGUAUGAGGUAAGGGUGUGUAUGAGGUGGUGAUGUGUAUGAGAUGGUGUUGUGUAUGAGGUAAGGGUGUGUAUGAGGUGGUGGUGUGUAUGAGGUGGUGGUGUGUAUGAGGUGGUGGUGUGUAUGGGAUGGUGUGUAUGAGGUAAUGGUGUGUAUGAGGUAAUGGUGUAUAUGAGGUGGUGGUGUGUCUGAGGUGGUGGUGUGUCUGAGGUAAUGGUGUACAUGAGGUGGGGGUGUAUAUGAGGUGGUGGUGUGUAUGAGGUGGGGGUGUGUAUGGGGUGUUGUGUAUGAGGUGGUGGUGUGUAUGAGGUGGGGGUGUGUAUGCGAUGGUGUGUAUGAGGUGGUGGUGUGUAUGGGAUGGUGUGUAUGAGGUGGUGGUGUGUAUGAAGUGGUGGUGUGUAUGAGGUAAUGGUGUGUAUGAGGUAAGGGUGUAUAUGAGGUGGGGGUGUCUAUGAGGUGGUGGUGUGUAUGAGGUGGGGGUGUGUAUGAGGUGGGGGUGUGUAUGAGGUGGUGGUGUGUAUGAGGUAAUGGUGUGUAUGAGGUAAUGGU
Oncorhynchus tshawytscha (Chinook salmon) is the source of this 741-nucleotide long non-coding RNA. The record is from Ensembl. NCBI's taxonomy places the organism in Eukaryota, Metazoa, Chordata, Actinopteri, Salmoniformes, Salmonidae.